This 496-nucleotide ribosomal RNA is filed under the name uncultured bacterium. RNAcentral describes it as "partial 16S ribosomal RNA". It matches the Rfam family "Bacterial small subunit ribosomal RNA", at positions 28 to 506 of the family's 1533-position model. The record is from RNAcentral.
GAUGAACGCUGGCGGCGUGCCUAAUACAUGCAAGUCGAGCGAACAGACGAGGAGCUUGCUCCUCUGACGUUAGCGGCGGACGGGUGAGUAACACGUGGAUAACCUACCUAUAAGACUGGGAUAACUUCGGGAAACCGGAGCUAAUACCGGAUAAUAUAUUGAACCGCAUGGUUCAAUAGUGAAAGACGGUUUUGCUGUCAAUUAUGGAUGGAUCCGCGCCGCAUUAGCUAGUUGGUAAGGUAACGGCUUACCAAGGCAACGAUGCGUAGCCGACCUGAGAGGGUGAUCGGCCACACUGGAACUGAGACACGGUCCAGACUCCUACGGGAGGCAGCAGUAGGUAAUCUUCCGCAAUGGGCGAAAGCCUGACGGAGCAACGCCGCGUGAGUGAUGAAGGUCUUCGGAUCGUAAAACUCUGUUAUUAGGGAAGAACAAAUGUGUAAGUAACUAUGCACGUCUUGACGGUACCUAAUCAGAAAGCCACGGCUAACUACGU